UACGUAGGCAGCGAGCGUUGUUCGGAGUUACUGGGCGUAAAGGGUGUGUAGGCGGUUGUUUAAGUUUGGUGUGAAAUCUCCCGGCUCAACUGGGAGGGUGCGCCGAAUACUGAAUGACUUGGAGUGCGGGAGAGGUGAGUGGAAUUCCUGGUGUAGCGGUGAAAUGCGUAGAUAUCAGGAGGAACACCGGUGGUGUAGACGGCUCACUGGACCGUAACUGACGCUGAGACACGAAAGCGUGGGGAGCAAACAGG
This 254-nucleotide ribosomal RNA is filed under the name uncultured bacterium. Its description in RNAcentral is "partial 16S ribosomal RNA". It matches the Rfam family "Bacterial small subunit ribosomal RNA", at positions 524 to 776 of the family's 1533-position model. The record is from RNAcentral.